UGAGGGACCCAGGACAGGAGA
RNAcentral lists this microRNA (21 nucleotides) under Homo sapiens (human). Its description in RNAcentral is "hsa-miR-6875-5p". Lineage: Eukaryota; Metazoa; Chordata; Mammalia; Primates; Hominidae. The record is from miRBase by way of RNAcentral.